UUUGGGGAAAAUUAAAAUAAAAUUAUUUUAAUAAAAAUUGAUCUUUACAAAACUAAAUGAAAAAGGUACUCUAGGGAUAACAGCGUUAUAGUUAUUAAAGCCCAUAUUUAAGUAACUG
Molecule: ribosomal RNA, 118 nt
Filed under: Acartia tonsa
Lineage: Eukaryota; Metazoa; Arthropoda; Copepoda; Calanoida; Acartiidae
Description: partial 16S ribosomal RNA
Source: RNAcentral